AGAUAAUACACCAAUCAUCUUCCGCUGGAUACCUGAUGUUUCUCUGAUAAGAUGGGCCUUUCAAGGGCUUUGCAUCAAUGAAUUUACUGGACUCAAGUUCGAUCGCCAACAUUCAUUUGAUGUUGAAAACGGUGAACAGGUAAACUACUUCAUGGAUACCAAUAUUUUAAAUUGCAGCAAAAUACGGAUUCUUGUUUUGGUGAAGAAAAACAAGGAAUUGUGGAAGAAAAGAUUGGCUUCUUUUAAUUAGAACUUUGGUCAUAUUGAAGAUUAACUUAAAAUUUCAUUUUAUCGGGGAAAAUGUCUGAUCAGUAUAACAAUACUCGAGAUAUUCUGUAAUGCUAUUUAUGUCUUUUAAUCUUUUAGGUUUAUGGUAAACUUGUCAUAUGCCUGUACAUUUUGCACGAAAUGUUUAAAAUAUUAAAAGUAAACUUACAUAGUAGUUUUAGUUACCAAUUCAAUUAGUUAUCUCUUUUUAGUUGCUAUUUUCACUCAACUACUUGUUCAAAUAUGACAAAAGGCAUACUUAUUACCCAAUGUUUUCUAUGCUCAAUUUUAUACACAUACACGCACAUGCACUUCAGUAAUAAUAAUAUUUGGCUGGCAGUGGCUGUAUAUUGGGAAUGCAUAAUCCCUCAACUGGCACAUUGAUGCAAAACCUUAGGAUUCCAAGAGGACUCUGGUAUAUAAAUCAAAAUUUUUCUUAAUCAAAAUGCAUAAGACCUGGUAAAUCUACAAUGACUUUUACAUCCUGUAUUUUCUUAUUUUUAGGGUAUUUCACUUAAUUUUCUGAUUCAUGCUUUUAGACUAAAAUUUCACGUGAGGUCAGCUGUAUAAUUGCAGUGAUAUGGAGUAUCUCUGCCACAAGUUGAUUAAAACUUGUAGAUUGACAUCCAGAGCCACCAAGUUUGUGUAUGCUUUUUACAGAUAAACUGGGUUAUACAAUCAGUUUCCAGGAAACCUUUAAU
Molecule: unclassified non-coding RNA, 968 nt
Filed under: Hevea brasiliensis (rubber tree)
Lineage: Eukaryota; Viridiplantae; Streptophyta; Magnoliopsida; Malpighiales; Euphorbiaceae
Source: RNAcentral